GAAAGCUUGAUGGAGCAAUGCCGCGUGCAGGAUGAAGGCCCUCGGUUGUAAACUGCUUUUAUAAGAGAAGAUUAUGACGGUAACUUAUGAAUAAGGGACGGCUAACUACGUGCCAGCAGCCGCGGUCAUACGUAGGUCCCGAGCGUUAUCCGGAGUGACUGGGCGUAAAGAGUUGCGUAGGCGGUCAAGUUAGCGAGCGAUGAAAACUAUCGGCUCAACCGAUAGCUUGUUGUUCGAACUGCUAGACUCGAGAGUAUCAUAGGUCGCUGGAAUUCCUUGUGUAGCAGUGAAAUGCGUCCAUAUUAGGACGAACACCGAUGGCGUCGGCAGGCGACUGGGAUAUUCUGACGCUAACGCACGACAGCGUGGGUAGCGAGCGGAUCAGAUACCCGGGUAGUCCACGCCCGUAAGCGAUGGGAUGCUAGUGUACGAGGUAUCGACCCCUACAGUACUAGCGCUACGCGUUAUGCAUGCGCCUGUGAGUACGGCG
Molecule: ribosomal RNA, 490 nt
Filed under: TM7 phylum sp. oral taxon H57
Lineage: Bacteria; Candidatus Saccharimonadota
Description: bacterial SSU rRNA
Rfam family: Bacterial small subunit ribosomal RNA
Source: RNAcentral